RNAcentral lists this ribosomal RNA (1188 nucleotides) under Usnea cornuta. RNAcentral describes it as "eukaryotic LSU rRNA". It matches the Rfam family "Eukaryotic large subunit ribosomal RNA", at positions 1 to 1063 of the family's 3401-position model. The record is from RNAcentral. Lineage: Eukaryota; Fungi; Ascomycota; Lecanoromycetes; Lecanorales; Parmeliaceae.
GACCUCGGAUCAGGUAGGGAUACCCGCUGAACUUAAGCAUAUCAAUAAGGGAGGAAAAGAAACCAACAGGGAUUGCCUCAGUAACGGCGAGUGAAGCGCAUCAGCUCAAAUUUGAAAUCUGGCCCCGUCGGGGUCCGAGUUGUAAUUGUAGAGAGUGUUUCGGGUGAGACCACGGUCUAAGUCCAUUGGAACAUGGGUCAUAGAGGGUGAGAAUCCCGUAUGUGACCGUGGCUCGAGCCCAUGUGAGCCUCUUCGACGAGUCGAGUUGUUUGGGAAUGCAGCUCAAAAUGGGUGUAAAUUUCAUCUAAAGCUAAAUACUGGCUGGAGACCGAUAGCGCACAAGAGAGUGAUCGAAAGAUGAAAAGCACUUUGGAAAGAGAGUCAAAAAGUACUGAAAUUGUUGAAAGGGAAGCGCUUGCAACCAGACCUGUCCGUAGGUGACAGCCGCUGUUCUCAGCGGUGCACUCGCUCUGCGAUCAGGCCAGCAUCGUUUCGGCGGUCGGAUAAAGGCCUUGGGAAUGUAGCUUCUUUCGGGGAGUUUAUAGCCCUCGGUGCAAUGCGGCCAGCCGGGACCGAGGACCGCGCUUCGCUAGGAUGCUGGCGUAAUGGUUGUAAGCGACCCGUCUUGAAACACGGACAAGGAGUCUACCAUCUAUGCGAGUGUUUGGGUGUUAAACCCAUACGCGAAUGAAAGUGAACGGAGGUGAGAACCCUUUAGGGCGCAUCAUCGACCGACCAGAUGUCUUCGGAUGGAUUUGAGUAUGAGCAUAGCUGGUGGGACCCGAAGAUGGUGAACUAUACUUGAAUAGGGUGAAGCCAGAGGAAACUCUGGUGAGGCUCGCAGCGGUUCUGACGUGCAAAUCGAUCGUCAAAUUUGAGUAUGGGGCGAAAGACUAAUCGAACCAUCCCCCAAGCGGUGUUAAUUGACAUUACAAGCUACAGGUGGUUAAUCGGAGCAUCUCGCGCUGCGAAUGCUCUUAUCCUUCGGGGCGACAUCACUACUUGCAUGAACACACCUUAGGGUUGACAGCCGCAGUUCUUCCCACUUCCGUGGGGUCUCUGUUCACAGACCAAAUAGGGUGGCCGGGCUCCCCUCUCGGGGGUGCCUGGUUUAGAAAUGGCCGAGUCUACUCCUAAUCGAGUCGGUCCAGGGAUGGAGGUCGCGAUACCUCCUGCCUGGACCUCAAA